Molecule: long non-coding RNA, 381 nt
Organism: Helicoverpa zea (corn earworm)
Lineage: Eukaryota; Metazoa; Arthropoda; Insecta; Lepidoptera; Noctuidae
Exons: 3
Source: RefSeq, a predicted model, not a curated record
UUAGUUUUUGUAAGCAUCGUUCUGUUUGGACUUUAUUCGCGAAUGCAGCUAAUACAAAAAUCUUUUGAGAACAAUUUUGUCCCUGUCAAUAUUGUCGGCAAAGAGCAGCUGCAAAGAAACUUGAAGAUUGUCAGAAAAUGUGUCGGUUAUUACAGUAACUUGCUGGAUAAUUUCGAUUUCAUUGACUCGCACCUUCAGAUUAAAAUGGCAGCAUCGUUGCUUUGCCGCGUGCCGUGCUGGCUGAUACAAUAUUAUUUCGCUGUACACUUAUGUCUGCAAGCACAAAGCAUCCCAUUUAAUGCCAUCACCUUGGUAACAGAAAACGUCUGGUUAUUUAUUUUGACGGCAACACCGGCUUUCGUCUCAGAGUUAAUCAGGAAC